Molecule: transfer RNA, 68 nt
Filed under: Marmota monax (woodchuck)
Lineage: Eukaryota; Metazoa; Chordata; Mammalia; Rodentia; Sciuridae
Description: tRNA.Ala
Source: RNAcentral
GGUCUGUAGCUCAGUGGCAGAGCACUUGCCUAGCAUGUGCAAGGCACUGGGUUCAAUCCUCAGCACCA